CUCUCCAGCCCCGGGGGCCUGGAUGUCCCAGCUGCCUGGCGCGGGUGGGCUUUGGGGAGGGGGGGGCCCGAGCUUUUUGGGGAGGGGGGUGCUGAAGCGUGCUACUCUUGUUUGCUUGCUUUUCACGACCGAGGUGCACCUAAACCCGCCGUCCUGGCCAGUCCUUCCCGCGCGGAAAGGUGCCGGGCACGCGGGACAGCCCCCCGCCGAGCCCCGCUUUCGCAGGACGCGGCUUGCCAGCCCACGGCGGGUGCCCCCAGUCCCGCAUAGCCUCCCCGUCCUUCCUCCCCCGUGGCCCGCAAUCGCUCUCUGGGCUUCCGGCGGCCCCUGUUGAGACUCGCACAGCCGGAGUCAGACUGGUGUGGGGUCGGUUUGUUCACUUCGGGGAGCCCCUUCCUGGGAUAGGGCACCGCGCCCUGUUGCCCUUCUCCAGCCCGCCGCUCCUUUCGUCGGCUACCUGGAGCACAGCAGGCACUCCGUCUCUACUUGCUGGCUGACGGUCCCUCGGUGCCCCUCAAAGGUCGGGACCUUCACCUCUGGAGAAUCAAAGCAAUUUCCCAACGCCGGGAUGACCGCAUAGCUUCCUCAUCAGUGAAAUGAACGACCAAAAGUGCCUUUUGGGGGAGAAGGAGCCAAGAGUCUUUGGAACAGCGGUCGAAAAACUUCGGAGGCAGAGCCACAGCUAGUCGGAAACUUUGUCCGUGUUUUGACGCUUUGAUUGUGUUGAUUGGCAGCUCUUUGCUCGGCUGCUUUUCCGUUCAGUUAUAAGAGGAGCCACGAGGGGGCAAUGUCUCCCUGAGCAAUGAGUGGUGGGCUUGGGUGGCUGGGCCGGCCAGCAGGCUUUUAGCCCUUUGCCCUCCUUGGCUGCUCUGGCCUGUUACUGAACACAUUCUGCAGAGUGACAAUGUUUCGCUGGUGCCUAGCAAGGACGCAAGAAAAAAAAAAAAAUGACAAAAUGGUCGGAACCCAUUUAGAAGGUGGAUUAGGUUGUGGGCUUUCAGUAUGCUGGGAGAAUCUUCCCUCCCUGGCUUCGUUCCAGAUAGAAAACCUGAUUUAUUUGUUUGUUUAUUUACUUAUUUUGGUCUUGAAGCCAAAACAAAGCUAGCAACCUCUGGUGUAGGAAAGAAAAACAAGUCCUCUGGGAGGACCCUUACCUGGCAUCUUCAGUGUGUCUUCCCAACAUCUAGACAGCGCCUAACACACACCCGAAACACGCCGGGCAGCGGCGGUGCGUGCCUUCGGUCCCAGCACUCAGGAGGCGAGGCAAGCAGACGGCUGAGUUCAAGUCCAGCCUGGACUUGAGUUCCGGAACAUGCAGGGCUACACAGAGAAACCCUGUCUCUGAAGGUGUGUAAGAACAGUCACUAGAUAGAGUCAUCACUGACUUUUGGAAGGUGUGGUCUGGAUGGAGACAUUGCCCACAACAGGAAGACUGAAGAAAGAGACUUAAAGAAAUGAAAAAGAGGAGCUGGAGAGAUGGCUCAGCUGUUAGUGCUCUUCCUAAAUGGACCUGAGUUCAAAUCCCAGCACCCGCAUGGCAGCUUACAAUUUUCUGUAACUCCAAGAUCUGACACCCUCACAGAGACGUAUGUGCAGACAAGGCACCAAUGCACAAAUACAUAUAAAAUAAAGUGCUGCAGUCGCCUUCAGUUUCUUCCUUCCGUGUUUUAAAGUUUUGAUGAAUGGCUUCUUUGAGAUCCUCGUACUGUCCCCCCAGGAGAAACUUAGUGAACUCUCUCUGCUUCCUGUGUGGAGAUGAAAUGUGGUGAGGCCCCAGCCUCUCCUGCCACCAUGCCUUCCCUGCCCAGUGCUGUCUGCCUUACAGUGGUGGACUUUCCCCCUGGAACUGUGCUCAGAGCUGACCUUGUGAUGAGUCUUGGUAGGAACUUUGGACUUGGACUUCAGAGCAACACUGGAACAGUUGAGACCUUGGAAACUCUUAAAGAAGACCGCUUUUGAACUGUGAGGUGGACCAGCAAGCCUUUGAAGGCCAGGGUGGAAUGAGGGAAUGAGAGCCACAUGUUAAAAAUCUAGUUCCCCAACCAUAAUUAAAGUAGCGAUUGUGGAGGCUUUAGGAGGUGGAAUCCAGCGGAAACUUUGGUUUAUUAGGGACAUAUUUCUCAAAGGGCAUUGUGGCACUCUAGCCUGUAACCAGCAAAAGAAACCCUGUGUGUAUAAGGUCUUGAGGGUAUGUGUAUUGUUGACUUGGCACAGCCAUCCAAAGAACAAAGGCAUCAGGCCCAGGGGAAAUUGGCAAAGCCUUUCCCCAUCCUUACGGGUCAGGCUUAAAAUCGGUAAAGCCGUCCUCCUUUGGGCCAAGUGUAUUUUGGGACAAUUGGUUGGUGUGCAUAAAAACUAGCAGCUGUGGCUUCCUUCCCUGGGAAGUUUACAGCCUACAGACACCUCCUACCAAUACUAGCCAGCUCCAACCUCUGUGCUUACCAUGUUAUUAUGCUUAUCAUGUGCUGUGUUAUCACAAUAAACAUGCUGAAGUUGUGGGUUGCAUAGACAGACACAGCUCCAUGAGAGCAUGGAGCCCUCUGGAACCUUGCUUUUCUGUGUUUAUAUCCAGGUGUCUGUCAUUUCCUUUCUUUUCUUUUUUUGUUUUUCAAGACAGGGUUUCUCUUUGUAGUCUUGGCUGUCCUGGACUCCAGGCUGUAGACCAGGAGUCUUAGAACUCCUUGUAGACAGUCUUGUAGACCAGGCUGGCUUGGAACUCACAGAGACCCACCCGCCUCUGCCUCUGCCUCCCCCAGUGCUGGGAUUAGAGGCCUGCAUCACAGCAUCUGGCUUGUCUAUGAUUUCUUUAAUGUCUGUUCUUUUCCUCAUUUCCUACCAUCUCUAGUCAGGGUUCCGGGACCAAUAUGUGGUAUCUAGUGGGGGUUUCCGUUUAUUUGGGACACACACUCUCAGAGUGAAUUGUGGGACACUAUUCUCUUUCUUCAUAGUCACAGAAGAGCAGUUUACACUGCCCCAUAUUUUCACCAUGAUAUUCUGAUCAAUGGCAUGGACCAUGGACCAAAUAAACUGCUUUUUGUUUUUGUUUUUGUUUUUUUUUUUAGUUCACAUAAAGAGAAGGAGAGAACCUAAAAGAGGAACUGCUCCAUUAUCCUAUCUGAAUUUAGAAGAAACAUAAGCCAGAAAUUGUGGGGAUUAAAAAACAAAAACAAAAACAAAAACAUUUCACCAGGCAGUGGUGGCACAGGUUAAUCCCAGCACUGUGGAGACAGGCAGGCAGAUCCAUGUAAAGAGGCAAGCUUAGUCUGCAAAACAAGUUUCAAGACAGCUGGGCUGACACAGAAAAACCCUGUCUUGAAAGAAAAAAAAAAAAAAAAAAAAACAACCAAAAAACCCAAACAAAUAAGUACAAGAUUCUCACUUCUUGCUUCCUCAGAUGACAAGACUCAGAAUGCGAAGUUGCCUAGGGACAAAGGUCUAGUCAAAUGCCACCAGAAAACCAAGCAUGGCCAUAGGUAAAUUUGGGGAGAUAGGUGGGCCCUCUGGUAGACAUCCUCUACAGAAGUUCAAAGUCGCCUUGUGGUACUUACACCCUGUGUAAUCCCCGCCCUUUAGUGUCAGCUGGACUGACUAGCUUCUAAUGGGCACAGAAGACAGAGGUGGUGUUUUUCAUGCCCCUUAUUGCUCUCUUACUUGCUGUCUUUGAUGAAAGCCAGCUGUCAAGAUGUAAAUGCCUGAGGAACUGUGGAGGCCUCCAUCUACGAGCUACAGAGGGAGGAGCUGUCUCAGCAUUCCUCAUCUCUCCUGGAACUGGUCUUGCCAGCAACUGCGUGAGCAAAGGUGGAAGUUGGUUUUCCUUGGUACAUGGAAGUUGGUUCUCCUUGGCACUUGAAACGUGUUGUGGACUGGAGGUCCUUGUCCUCCCCACAAAUUCAAAUUAUAAAAACCUAACCUCCAAGAUGAUGAUGGUGUUGAAAGUCAGUCCUUCGGAAGGGAUUAGAUUUAGAUGAGGUAGGAGGGUGUCUGCUCUGUAAUGCAGUGUGUUUAUGCUUCUGAGAGAGAAAAAGUUGUCUAAGUGUACUGUCUUCAUUCUAUUAUCUAUCUAUAUCUAUCAUCUAUCUAUCUGUCCAUCAUCUAUCUAUCAUCUGUCAUCGAGCUAUCUCUGUAUAUCAUCUGUCCUCAAUCUAUCUCAUCUAUCUAUCUAUCUAUCUAUCUAUCUAUCUAUCUAUCUAUCUAUCUCUCUUUUUGUCUCAUAGAGGGAAAAAUGUAACUCCUGCCCCUGCAGCUAUGAAGAGGGCCCUUAUCAGGAAGAAAAUUAACUCGAACCUUCAUUUUGGAAUUGCUAGCCACCAGAUCAGACUGGCCUUGAACUCUGCCUCCCUGGGUGCUGGGAGCCCAGAGAGUGUGGAGAUCAGAGAAAGAAGAAGGCUGUGCCUGCUUCCCCUUUGCUGCUCCUGGUUGCUGUUGUGAGACAAGAAGUUGGAGAGCAACUGAAAACAAGAAUUGGACUGGCUCCAAGGAACCUGAUUGCCCUAACCAGCAGGAAGCAGCUAACCUUUUCUCUCUCCUACUUGGUGUUGGGGUGUGGGAAGGGACUGAGGUGGAGCAGGGAGAAAAAGAUAUAUAACAUAAAUAAAAGAGUUUUUAAAAAGUAUACCUACACCAGGUUGGCCUUGAACUCACAGAGCUCCACCAGCCUCUGCCUCCCUCGUGCUUGGGAUUACAGGUGCAUUCCACCUCACCUGGCUUUUUGGAGAUAGGGUUUCUCUCUGGAACCUCUGUGAAAGUUUUUGUUUUAUUUCAAAAAGCAAAAUUUAUUUUACCUGAUACAUGGAAGCCAAAGAGAUAUUCAUGCUGUGUCGUGUGAUAGUUUGAUACACACAGAUGUCGUAACCACAGUUUUCACUUCUUUUUAAAUUUUAUUUAUUUUUCUGUGCCUUGAUGUUUUGCCUGCAUGUAUGUAUGUCAGUGAGAGGGUGUUAGAUCCCCUGGAACUGGAGUUACAGGCACCUGUGAGCUGCCAUGUUGGUGCUGGGAAUCAAACCCAGGCCCUACUGGAAGAGCAGCCAGUGCUCUUAACCACUGGGCCACCUCUCCAUGAUUCCCGUGCCUUCAUUUUCAUUUUGAAAGUUGAGUUUUGGCUGACUUCCUGAGUACUUUAAUUUCCUGGAGCCCCAGCCUAUCUGACAGUGUUGUCUACACCCAGGGUUGGCCCGUUCUCCUUCGUUCUCCUUCAGUUCUGUGGAAAUAGCUUCAAGUCACCCUCGGCAGUACGCUUUGCUAACCUUCUUGGGCAUCCCUUAAUCUAUGGAGAAGCUGAACCAUCCAACUCUUUCCUGCACCACUUAAAUCCACCUUGAGAUACUGAAAGGCUUCCUCUGAAGGGCGGUUCUUAAUGACUAAAUGAAUUAAACCUACAAUCUUGCCUCCUAACACUGGUCGAUUCUCUGUAAAUAUGUAAAUGUUAUACAUUUGUCACUUCACUGUUGCUCUUCAGAAACGUUUCGAUUUAUUCCUUUUCUGAGGCUAAAAUUCGAGUCACAGGAAAAUGGAACUAACUAGAAAAAUCUAGUUAGGAAACUAACUAGGAAAAAUCACAGUUCCAGGACAGCCAGGGCUACACAGAGAAACCCUAUCUUGAGAAACAAAAACAAAAAA
Meriones unguiculatus (Mongolian gerbil) is the source of this 5616-nucleotide long non-coding RNA. RefSeq lists it as uncharacterized. The transcript has 4 exons. The record is from RefSeq and is a predicted model, not a curated record. Lineage: Eukaryota; Metazoa; Chordata; Mammalia; Rodentia; Muridae.